CAAAAGGCACAAUUGAAGAAAUAACCUCUGGGUCGCGACAAACGCCGCGAUCUACUUGUGUGCAUAUCCACACAACACAAACAUAUGAAUGUUUGUAGAUCUCGGGUUUCUGUGGGAAGCUAUGCAGGGAGAAUGAGAUGGAUGCAAGUGCGCGAAGCAAUGAGUGAGAGCGAGACACAUGCAUACACAUAUAUGUUUUUGGGCUGUAAGGAUUUAAAAAUGGCUUACAUACAUAUAUUAGGAAAACGCAUCAUCAGCCUCGAAGUUGUGCGCUAAGCGAGAUGCGGCGUCAUACUAAACGUUCGGCUUUUGAGGCCGGCGUUCGGCUGCCACUCUCAGCAGUCUUAUUCUGUCUGGGCACACUCAAAUGGUCGCAGGUACCCUUGGGGAUGCCUCAAUUCGAUAUAUUUUGUUUCGAUAAAAAGGGCCAUUUGGUAUGUUUAUACCAAAGACAAUAUUAACACUAAGAACUGGAAACGCUACAACAGUUCCAAUUCGACGUCCACUACCGUCGAGGGGAGCUCAACGUUGUGGCCGACGCACUAUCAAGACAUCAUCUACAGACCUGCCAACAAGCUGCGGUAGCCGACUCACCCAGCAGGUGGGUCGCGAGUAUGAGUGCUAGAAUCGCCGAGGAGCCGGCCAAGUUCUCGUACUACAUAAAAGAUAAUGGGUAACUGAUGGCGAUUAAAUUUCAUGGAAGCUAUGCGUGUCUAGUGAUCAGCGACAGAGGGUAUUGCAGGAAUGCCACAACGCUCCCACGGCCGGACAUCAAGGCGUGAGGAAAGCCGUGUCGAGAUUGGCACAAAGAUACUACUGGCCAGGUAUGUUCCGCGACACCGCCAAGUACGUGAAGUGCUGCGAAAUCUGUCAAAAAUUCAAGAGUGAACAACUCAAACUGGCUGGACAUAUGCUGACGCGGCAGAGCGCAGAGCCAAUGGCAGUACUCUGCGCCAACUUCGUCGUGCCCCUUUCACGCUCGAAACAUGGCAACACAAUGGUAUUGGUGUUCCAUGAUGCCUUUUCAAAGUGGGUGAAAUGGGUCCCUCUCAGGAGGGUCACGGCGGCACACCUGCAGACCGCAUUCCGAGAGAGGAUUCUAAGUAGGUUCGGCGUACACACGAAGUUCGUGUGCAACAACGAAGUACAAUUUACAAGCCGUAGUUUUAUGGCUUUUGUGGAGUUUUGGUGUAGAGGUCCAGUACACCGCCCCGUAGUGUCCUCAAGAAAAUCCUACCGAGAGGACCAACAGGACCGUGAAGACCAUGAUAGCGCAAUUUAUCGAGGGCCAUUAGAAUUCGUGGGAGGAGCUUUUCCCUGAGAUAUCGCUGGCGGUCAAUACAAGUGGCGGAUUCGACCGGUUGCCCGGGGACUCCGGGGUCCGCAACUAGUGCGUCCACAGCAAUCUCCAGUGCGCUUCGAAGGACCAGGGAGGACACUACAACCUGCGGAGGCGAGAGUGGUGGUCUUCGUUGGAUUCGAUGGUCCUGUUAAGGCAGCACCAACUAUCCAACGCCGCUGAGGGUUUCGCGGCGAAGGUGGCACCCAAGUUUGAUGACCCCUAUAGCGUCGUCAAAUUCAUAUCCCCUAAUAUAUAUUUUAUUUUGUUUUUUCCCUUUUUUUUAAAUGUUGGAAUAAUAAUUGGAAUAAUGAAUGUUGAAAUACACAAACAUUCAUUCAUACAAAAGGUACAAUGACCAAGUAGGCUUUUGUUAUUUUCAGUUUUAAUACUGAAAUGCUUUUAUCGUUUAGCCUCACUUUUACUGAACUUUAGAGAGUUAGCAAGUUAACGUGCUUAGAAAAGUUAUUUAAAAAUAUUGAGAUCAACUAAACCAACAAGUAUUUCAUUUAAUUGUGUACAUUUCAAUAGGUUAAGGGCCCAGACAUCGCAUUACCAAAAAAUUAAAAAAAAAAUAAAAUCAAAAGCGUACAUAAUUAAAUAAACAAUUAAAUUAUAAAAAAAAAUAGUCUUAUCGUUUAUAUGUGUAUGAAUAUUCGGCAACGCGUAAUUAACACAACUCCUUUGUAGGUUUACAGUGGCUCUAAAGAAGACAAAUCUUAACUGUGCACAAAUAAUUAAAGGUGUGUGGGUGAAUGAAACAAGAAUUUAACGUGACAACGUUUUCGGAAAAUAAAAAAGAAAAAUACAAUCCAAAAGGGUAGCAAAUUCAAGAAUAUUAAUAUUUAUAUGUUAUUGAAAAGGAGAAACCGGAAAAAAUGGGCUAAGGCAAAAGGAGCAGCAAACAAUAUAAUAAUUGAAUUCCUUACCGAUUCGUUUCUGUCAUUUGCUGAGAUUAAGCACUCUGCAAUGGAAAUUUUAAAGAAGUUAGACUCAGUGUUCGUCCGUAAAAGUUUAGCCUCGGUUCACUUUAAAAAAUUUGACGAAUUUAUGAAUGGGUUAAUAGCAUCAGGAGCUAAAAUUGAAGAGGUGGAUAAAGUGUCACACCUACUUUUAACUUUACCUUACACAUAUGAUGGGAUGGUAAAUGCUAUUGAAACCUUGUUAAUUGAAAAACUGACUCUGGCAUUUGUCAAAAAUCGACUACUUGAUCAUGAGAUCGAACUUAAGAAUGCUAGUAAGAAUACGAGCAAUAAUAAGGUAAUAUCUCAUUUAGGAGCCUCAUACAGUAUGAUAAAUAAUGUAAGUCUGUUGUGAAACACCAAUUGAGAUUGCUAUUGCAAAAAUUAUAGAGUACAUUUAUGAUACUGUUAAGGGUACAGUGAAAUUAGAGAGCAAUCUUAAUAAAAAUAUUACCCUAAAAAAUGUGAUUUUUUGCAAGGACAUUCCACAAAAUUUACUAUCGGUGCCAAAGAUGCAGAAUGCUGGUAUGACAAUUCAGUUCAAUUCAACUGGUGUAAGUGUUAAAGAACGGACAAGGCGUUUUAGAAGGUACUUUCACUACUCAAUACUACUACUACUCAAUAGUAGAGGCAGGCAACAAAUGCCUCAUCUACACAUGAGUAGAGGAUAGUUUAUAGAAGUUGUGCGAAAUAAUGUUUGAGGAUAUAGAAAUUUUAAGAAAUGUACAACUGCAUGACAAUUUGUGUGAGGCUUGUGUUAAUGGCAAACAAACUAGACUCCCGUUUAAUGGAACUAAAAAUAAAGACAAUGUCAAGAGACCUUUAUUUAUGGUUCAUUCGGAUGUUUAUGGUCCAAUACCACCUACUUGAAUUGAUGGUGAAAACUAUGAUGUAGUCUUUGUCGAACAAUAUAGACAUUAUUGUGUAAGCUAUUUGAUAACCUAUAAAUCUGAUGUGUUUUCAUUUUUUAAAGAUUAUGUGGCAAAGAGCGAGUCACAUUUUAACUUAAAGGUUGCGAAUCUCUGCAUUGAUAAUGGGAGAGAGUACUUGUCUAACGACAUGCGUAGCUAUUGUUUAGAAUAUGGCAUAAGCUACCAUUUAACGGUUCCUCAUACACCACAACUAAACGGAGUAUCAGAACGCAUGAUUGGAUAUUUAACAGAGAAGGCAAGAACAAAGAUCAAUUCUGCAAAAUUGGGUAAAAGGUUUUGGAGUAAAGCUGUUUUAACAGCAAUAUUUUUAAAUUAAUAGAACUCCAAGUAGGGCAUUACGGGAAAAGAACACCAUUUGUGGCACAACAAAAAACGUAUUUUAAAAUUAAAAAAAAAAAAUAUUUGGCUUAACGGUUACAUGACACUAGCAGCGAAAUUAGUCGCCUUCCUGCCUUCAACCAUUGAGAAAUAAAGUGAAAGAGCUAAACCAGACACUCUGAGCUUUUUAACCGUUUUAAAAACCACGAGAAUAGAUCGGGCUGGUCCGCAAACGCAAAAUCAAAAUCCAAAGAAAAGCUCAUUUACCAUAGGAAGCAACAGUGCGUACGAAACCUAAUUUGUUCUUCAUCCCCGUUUUGAUCGACAAGAGGUUUGCGAGCCAUGAUGAGGACAUUGGAUACUCAGUGCAAAGAGAGGGGACAAUAAAGCCAAUGUGUUCUUGGGGGUUUCUCUGUCCUUCCUACAAGGCAGCGCGUAGAAACCACAACAGCACAAUUUGGGUACUUAUGUUGUUAUUGAAGAGCCAAGUCUCAGCGCAAGCAGGUAGAAAAUUAUGACGCCAGCAAGCCAUGGCAAUCAUAUUAAAGGGAUACGCGGACGGCGCACUAACAUCAUAUAUUAUAGCGUCACAAUUAAUAGAACUUAAUUUUUUGUGAUGUUUAGUAUAUAUUUCUACUUAUAUUAGGCAUAUUUAAAUAAUUUAUGAAUAGGAUCCUUUACAGUAUAUAAUUGAAUGAUGUAUGUAAUCACUUUAAAUACGAAAUGAUCGCACGGAAUAAACCCUAGGCUGUGACGUCACAUGCGCAACAGAA
This is a non-coding RNA of Drosophila virilis, 4324 nucleotides long. Lineage: Eukaryota; Metazoa; Arthropoda; Insecta; Diptera; Drosophilidae. The record is from RefSeq and is a predicted model, not a curated record.